CAUGUAGCCUACAAUGUGACUAAAAGACUUGAAUAAUGCCAAACAUGCAACUUCCGACAAGCUGGUGUCAGUUGGUAUAUUUGGGAAAGUCGAUAAUUUGUGAAAGACAAAUGUACAGUAUAACUUGAAAACAUUGUAUUGGAAAGCUGAAAGUAAUGUCAUCACCAACUCGAAAGACCGUGAGUCGUUCACGUGGACAAAAAUUGUACAGUGUUCUCAUUGUUGAAAACACACGCGUUUUACGAAAUGUCCUUGUAUCCCACGCUCGGAUGUACCACUUGUGAUGUG
This is a non-coding RNA of Paramuricea clavata, 288 nucleotides long. NCBI's taxonomy places the organism in Eukaryota, Metazoa, Cnidaria, Anthozoa, Malacalcyonacea, Plexauridae. The record is from the annotation of a GenBank genome assembly.